This 369-nucleotide long non-coding RNA is filed under the name Mus spicilegus (steppe mouse). RNAcentral describes it as "lncRNA (ENSMSIG00000006239.1)". The record is from RNAcentral. Lineage: Eukaryota; Metazoa; Chordata; Mammalia; Rodentia; Muridae.
GGUCACAAUGUCUAACAAAUAUGAAAAUGUAUGUACUCAUCUUGGUCCUCACUCAACCCAUCGGACUUCCCCAAUUUGUCUGGGUAAAACAGAGAACUGACACCUGGGAAAUCCCUGCAAAAUAGUGGAAGUGAAAGAUGGUGGGAGGGCAUGGAAGAGCAAAGUACAGCGUCAAACUCGACAGUCUCAGCCCAGGGAGGCUCGGUGGCCGCAAACAGCGCCUGCCUCCGGGUCUGCAGCAGCAGUCAUAGCAGCAGCAGAAGCAGCAGCAGCGGGAUCCGAAAGUCCGGCGGGGCUGAGGGCCCAGAAAGAAGAAGAAGGUCCUGGCUGCUCAGCUACUUGGUGGCCCCCAUCCUGGCAAGCCGAUGA